UAACACGUAAACAACCUACCUUCAGGAUGGGGACGAACAGACGGAAACGAACUGCUAAUACCGAAUACGCUUGGGAGACCGCAUGAUCUACCAAGAAAAAGGUAGGCCUCUACCUGUAAGCUAUCGCCUGAAGAGGGGUUUGCGUCUGAUUAGCUGGUUGGAGGGGUAACGGCCCACCAAGGCGACGAUCAGUAGCCGGUCUGAGAGGAUGAACGGCCACAUUGGGACUGAGACACGGCCCAGACUCCUACGGGAGGCAGCAGUGGGGAAUCUUCCGCAAUGGACGAAAGUCUGACGGAGCAACGCCGCGUGAACGAUGACGGCCUUCGGGUUGUAAAGUUCUGUUAUACGGGACGAAUGGUACGACGGUCAAUACCCGUCGUAAGUGACGGUACCGUAAGAGAAAGCCACGGCUAACUACGUG
RNAcentral lists this ribosomal RNA (424 nucleotides) under uncultured bacterium. RNAcentral's name for it is "bacterial SSU rRNA". It matches the Rfam family "Bacterial small subunit ribosomal RNA", at positions 111 to 507 of the family's 1533-position model. The record is from RNAcentral.